CGCUCGGCCGCCCUUUCCCCGCGGCGGCCGGCUGCGGGGGUCGUGGCCGCUGGGCUCCGGGCGGCGGCUCGUGCGAGGCCGUCGGCUCCGCGGCGGUCAGGCAGCGGCCAGGGAGGAGGGCGAUGCCCGGCCCACGGACGGGAGCCAGAGGAGCCGCCCGCCGGCCUCCCGACCCAGAACGUCAGGGUGUUCGGAGGCGAUCAUGUUUGCGCAGCAGGGGCUGUCACAGGGGUGUCGGCGGACACUGUUACGGGUUCCAGAGGGUGCAGGCGGGCGAAGGCGGAGAAGUGGGGCCCGGGGGUGGUUUGCAGGGGCACUCCCCGUCGCUGCUCUGGCCUGGGCAAGGACAGGGCGCACCCCAGUUUGGACGCCCCAGGCCUGUCCGCGCAGCCCUGCGUGUGCCUUGUGUAGCAAGCGAAGGGUGAGCAGGCUUCCCCUGCACCCUGUGUCCUGAUUCUUAACCCAGCCACUGUGUUCAGGGGGACGAAAGUCUUGGCAGAGUUUUCUAACUGCCAGAGCCCGUGAUUCUAAUUUCUUUUCCCUUUAAGACGGACUUAUUUUAGAGCACAAGCCUGGGGCGGGGGCUGGGCGGAAGAGCAGGGAGAGUCUGAAGCAGAGUCCGCACUCAGCCCGGAGCCUGACCUCGCGGCCAGAGCUGAAAUCUAGUCAGACUCUCGGCCAAUGGAGUCGUUCCCCCCCCCCCCCCGGCGUCCCAGUUCGAAACUGCUUUUUGUGCCAUAUUUGGAUUAUCCACUGCCCACCCCACAGGGGAGAAAAAUCUAGAUGGGGAAGAAAGCUAUUAUUUAACGUAAGUAGGAUGAGUUUUAGGAAUUAAUACUAACAAGACGGGUAUUACAGUUGAAAUUUUGGAAUAUGUUUUUUAGUAAAAGUGUUUCUCUUUUGGCAAAACUUGAGAAUAAAUUGAUCUUAAAUAAACCAUCUUAACACUU
This is a long non-coding RNA of Mustela lutreola (European mink), 950 nucleotides long. RefSeq lists it as uncharacterized. NCBI's taxonomy places the organism in Eukaryota, Metazoa, Chordata, Mammalia, Carnivora, Mustelidae. The transcript has 3 exons. The record is from RefSeq and is a predicted model, not a curated record.